UGCCUCUCAGGGUCUCCCUUGGAGAGUUUCCAACUCUACCAGUCUCGAUAACGAGAGGGAAAGUAAAGCAGAUGCAUAUCCAUUCCAUUCCUAGCUUGGGCAGUGGCUAGCAAGUGGAAGGCAAUCUGCUAGCAAG
Small nucleolar RNA from Tachyglossus aculeatus (Australian echidna), 136 nucleotides. Lineage: Eukaryota; Metazoa; Chordata; Mammalia; Monotremata; Tachyglossidae. The record is from RefSeq and is a predicted model, not a curated record.